This 428-nucleotide ribosomal RNA is filed under the name uncultured bacterium. RNAcentral's name for it is "bacterial SSU rRNA". It matches the Rfam family "Bacterial small subunit ribosomal RNA", at positions 355 to 776 of the family's 1533-position model. The record is from RNAcentral.
UCGAGGAUAUUUAGCAAUGGACGAAAGUCUGACUAUGCGACGCCGCGUGCAGGAUGAAGGUCUUCGGAUUGUAAACUGCUUUUGUUAGGGGAGAAACCUGAAACGUUAAUAGCGUUUCAGCUGACGGUACCUGACGAAUAAGCCACGGCUAACUCCGUGCCAGCAGCCGCGGUAAUACGGAGGUGGCAAGCGUUACUCGGAAUUAUUGGGUGUAAAGGGCAGGUAGGCGGCUUUGUAAGUGAGGGGUGAAAUCCUGCGAUUUAAUCGCAGAACAGCCUUUCAAACUGCUUAGCUUGAGUGUGAUAGAGGAAAAUGGAAUUCUCGGUGUAAGGGUGAAAUCUGUAGAUAUCGGGAAGAACACCAACGGCGAAGGCAAUUUUCUGGGUCACAUCUGACGCUGAACUGCGAAAGCUAGGGGAGCAAACAGA